GUCUCAGUUCGGAUUGAGUCUGCAACCCGACUCCAUGAAGCUGGAUUCGCUAGUAAUCGCGCAUCAGCCACGGCGCGGUGAAUACGUUCCCGGGCCUUGUACACACCGCCCGUCAAGCCAUGGAAGCCGGGGGUGCCUGAAGUGCGCUGCCGCAAGGAGCGUCCUAGGGUAAAACCGGUGACUGGGGCUAAGUCGUAACAAGGUAAC
This 207-nucleotide ribosomal RNA is filed under the name uncultured bacterium. Its description in RNAcentral is "partial 16S ribosomal RNA". It matches the Rfam family "Bacterial small subunit ribosomal RNA", at positions 1285 to 1500 of the family's 1533-position model. The record is from RNAcentral.